GAACCCUCCCAAACCCACCCUCUGGGCUGAGCCGGGCUCUGUGAUCACCUGGGCAAGGCCCAUUACCAUGUGGUGUCAGGGGAUCCUGGAGGCUCAAGAGAAUGCUCUGUCUGAAGAGGGAAGAUCAGUGCCUGGAACAGAAAGGACACACUGGAGGUUGGGAACAAAGGCACAUUCACCAUUCCAUCCAUGUCAUAGGAACACACAGGGUGAUAUCACUGUUACUAUGGCAGCCGCCCUCGCUGGUCAGAGCACAGUGA
This 260-nucleotide small RNA is filed under the name Pan troglodytes (chimpanzee). Its description in RNAcentral is "retained intron". Lineage: Eukaryota; Metazoa; Chordata; Mammalia; Primates; Hominidae. The record is from RNAcentral.